This 76-nucleotide transfer RNA is filed under the name Acidaminococcaceae bacterium. Its description in RNAcentral is "tRNA-Thr". It matches the Rfam family "tRNA". Rfam says of the family: Transfer RNA (tRNA) molecules are approximately 80 nucleotides in length. Their secondary structure includes four short double-helical elements and three loops (D, anti-codon, and T loops). RNAcentral also lists the same sequence under 2 other names. The record is from RNAcentral. Lineage: Bacteria; Bacillati; Bacillota; Negativicutes; Acidaminococcales; Acidaminococcaceae.
GCUGGCAUAGCUCAAUUGGCAGAGCAACGGUUUUGUAAACCGUAGGUUGUAGGUUCGAUUCCUAUUGUCAGCUCCA